AAAAAGGUAUUUCCCUAAAGCCUCAAGGUCGGAGGCCGAGUGUUGAGAAAGAUUCUGCCAAUUCACAUUGAUCCUAGGGGAAGAUGGACGCCAAACUAUGAAGGCCCAUAUGUUGUAAGGAAGGUCUUCUCUGGAGGAGCCUUAAUACUUUCAACUAUGGAUGUUGAAGAUCUUCCAUCCCCUGUGAAUGUUGACGUAGUCAAAAAAUACUACGCUUGAAAGAAAA
This 226-nucleotide long non-coding RNA is filed under the name Lathyrus oleraceus (garden pea). RNAcentral's name for it is "Pisum sativum (pea) long non-coding RNA (PSAT_LNC026435)". Lineage: Eukaryota; Viridiplantae; Streptophyta; Magnoliopsida; Fabales; Fabaceae. The record is from RNAcentral.